CACCGCGGUUAUACGAGAGGCCCAAGUUGACAAAUACGGCGUAAAGGGUGGUUAAGGAGAAUACUAAUAAAGCCAAAGGGCCUCCUGGCCGUCAUACGUUUCCGAGCGUCCGAAACCCAUAAACGAAAGUAGCUUUAACACAGCCCACCUGACCCCACGAAAACUGAGAAA
Molecule: ribosomal RNA, 171 nt
Filed under: Schistura savona (half-banded loach)
Lineage: Eukaryota; Metazoa; Chordata; Actinopteri; Cypriniformes; Nemacheilidae
Description: partial 12S rRNA
Source: RNAcentral